This is a non-coding RNA of Sander lucioperca (pikeperch), 1188 nucleotides long. The record is from the annotation of a RefSeq genome assembly. NCBI's taxonomy places the organism in Eukaryota, Metazoa, Chordata, Actinopteri, Perciformes, Percidae.
UUAUGUUAGUAAUAAUAAUUAUAGUGAAUAGACUUUGUACAUUAAUCCAUAAUGUGUGUCCAUAAUUGUCUUUAGUCUCCAUAUAAGACGUGCUGACAUGAGAUGAUCCGUGUGUUUGAUAUGAAGGUGAAUACAGUAUAUGUAGUGAACUUUGUGCUGUAUUGAUGAGUAGUUUAGUGAUCAGAGUCCAUGUAGUUUCCAGGAUCAGACUGAAUGCAGUGCUGUAAGCUGCUGUUGACUGUGUGAAUGUGUGUCUGUGCUGCUUGUUGCUGCUGUCAAACUUCAGAUGAGCCGGUAGUGAAGCCCGUGGUGAGCGUGUACCCAGCAGCAUCCAGAGCCCACCUGGAGGGGAAGAGCUCCCUGCUGUGUCUGGCCUCAGCCAUGUUUCCUCCUCUGGUCCAGUUCUCCUGGAAAAGACGAAAGGAGAAUGGUCCUCUGGAGGAUCUGCUCCCUGAUGAGGGAGAGCAGCUGGAGAUCAGAGAGUCAGGACGCACCGCCUCCAUCUUGCUGAUCCAUCAGCAAGUUAACAGCACAUAUAAAUACCACUGUGAGGUCCAACAUGAGGGGGGACCAGUGGAGGCCCAAACAGAACAAGAGGUUCCAGCUCCAGCAGCCUCCUGUCCUCCAGAGAGAGAUCCACCAGACCAGCUAGCUCUGGAGGAAGCUGACUUGUCCUUCCAGUUUCAGUGCAGGGUGAAGUUGUUCUGUCUGCUGUACACACAGCUGAUAGUGAAGAGUCUGGUGUACUGCUGUGGACUCUCUCUGCUGAUGAUCCUCAGAAACAAGGGACCGUCCACCAACUGAACACAUGCUGACUGACUGUUUUCUGCUCGACUUUUCUCACCAUCAAAUCUCAUCAAUUCAUCUCAUUUAUCACUUUAAUCACUAUUCACAAAUAUCAAUUAUGACGUGUUGUAGUUGUCAUCCUAACCGUAUAAAUACAUAUAUAUCUUAACAGUUACUAAGUUUAAAUUCUGUUGUGUUGAUACUUGAGUUUAUUUCUACUUUUAAUUAUGACUUGUAUAAUGAUAGAUCAGCCGUCUGGUAGAUAUUUCAUAGUUCAUAGUAUUUUUUCUGUUCUUGUGUUUCUCUUUAAUACAUUAUUCAGAGUGUGGCAGCUUUUUCAUUUUUUUCAGUGUAACAUUCUUAAUGAACGUAAAUGAGCAUAAAUAAAAGUUUCUGUUUUUU